AGAGUGAACGCUGGCGGCGUGCUUAACACAUGCAAGUCGAGCGAUUUUCAGCAGCUUAUCGCUGAGAGUAGCGGCAGACGGGUGAGUAAUACUUAGGCAAUCUGCCCUUGAGAGGAAAACAACCUGCUGAAAAGUGGGCUAAUGUUCCAUAUGACCACGGAGUCGCAUGAUUCUGAGGUAAAAGCUCCGCAAGGGGCGCUCGAGGAGGAGCCUGAGGCCUAUCAUGGUAGUUGGCGGGUAAUGGCCCACCAAGCCUACGACGGGUAGCCGGCCUGAAAGGGUGAUCGGACCACA
Molecule: ribosomal RNA, 294 nt
Filed under: uncultured soil bacterium
Lineage: Bacteria
Description: partial 16S ribosomal RNA
Rfam family: Bacterial small subunit ribosomal RNA
Source: RNAcentral